GCAGUCGAGCGAACAGAUAAGGAGCUUGCUCCUUUGACGUUAGCGGCGGACGGGUGAGUAACACGUGGAUAACCUACCUAUAAGACUGGGAUAACUUCGGGAAACCGGAGCUAAUACCGGAUAACAUAUUGAACCGCAUGGUUCAAUAGUGAAAGGCGGCUUUGCUGUCACUUAUAGAUGGAUCCGCGCCGUAUUAGCUAGUUGGUAAGGUGACGGCUUACCAAGGCAACGAUACGUAGCCGACCUGAGAGGGUGAUCGGCCACACUGGAACUGAGACACGGUCCAGACUCCUACGGGAGGCAGCAGUAGGGAAUCUUCCGCAAUGGGCGAAAGCCUGACGGAGCAACGCCGCGUGAGUGAUGAAGGUCUUCGGAUCGUAAAACUCUGUUAUCAGGGAAGAACAAAUGUGUAAGUAACUGUGCACAUCUUGACGGUACCUGAUCAGAAAGCCACGGCUAACUACGUGCCAGCAGCCGCGGUAAUACGUAGGUGGCAAGCGUUAUCCGGAAUUAUUGGGCGUAAAGCGCGCGUAGGCGGUUUUUUAAGUCUGAUGUGAAAGCCCACGGCUCAACCGUGGAGGGUCAUUGGAAACUGGAAAACUUGAGUGCAGAAGAGGAAAGUGGAAUUCCAUGUGUAGCGGUGAAAUGCGCAGAGAUAUGGAGGAACACCAGUGGCGAAGGCGACUUUCUGGUCUGUAACUGACGCUGAUGUGCGAAAGCGUGGGGAUCAAACAGGAUUAGAUACCCUGGUAGUCCACGCCGUAAACGAUGAGUGCUAAGUGUUAGGGGGUUUCCGCCCCUUAGUGCUGCAGCUAACGCAUUAAGCACUCCGCCUGGGGAGUACGACCGCAAGGUUGAAACUCAAAGGAAUUGACGGGG
RNAcentral lists this ribosomal RNA (879 nucleotides) under Staphylococcus warneri. RNAcentral's name for it is "bacterial SSU rRNA". It matches the Rfam family "Bacterial small subunit ribosomal RNA", at positions 57 to 918 of the family's 1533-position model. Lineage: Bacteria; Bacillati; Bacillota; Bacilli; Caryophanales; Staphylococcaceae. The record is from RNAcentral.